This 467-nucleotide ribosomal RNA is filed under the name uncultured bacterium. RNAcentral's name for it is "partial 16S ribosomal RNA". It matches the Rfam family "Bacterial small subunit ribosomal RNA", at positions 29 to 507 of the family's 1533-position model. The record is from RNAcentral.
ACGAACGCUGGCGGCGUGCUUCACACCUGCAAGUCGAACGGAAAGGCCCUGCUUUUGUGGGGUGCUCGAGUGGCGAACGGGUGAGUAACACGUGAGUAACCUGCCCUUGACUUUGGGAUAACUUCAGGAAACUGGGGCUAAUACCGGAUAGGAGCUCCUGCUGCCUGGUGGGGGUUGGAAAGUUUCGGCGGUUGGGGAUGGACUCGCGGCUUAUCAGCUUGUUGGUGGGGUAGUGGCUUACCAAGGCUUUGACGGGUAGCCGGCCUGAGAGGGUGACCGGCCACAUUGGGACUGAGAUACGGCCCAGACUCCUACGGGAGGCAGCAGUGGGGAAUAUUGCACAAUGGGCGGAAGCCUGAUGCAGCAACGCCGCGUGCGGGAUGACGGCCUUCGGGUUGUAAACCGCUUUCGCCUGUGACGAAGCGUGAGUGACGGUAAUGGGUAAAGAAGCACCGGCUAACUACGUG